Molecule: ribosomal RNA, 622 nt
Filed under: uncultured Lachnospiraceae bacterium
Lineage: Bacteria; Bacillati; Bacillota; Clostridia; Lachnospirales; Lachnospiraceae
Description: bacterial SSU rRNA
Rfam family: Bacterial small subunit ribosomal RNA
Source: RNAcentral
GUGGCGGACGGGUGAGUAACGCGUGGGUAACCUGCCUUAUACAGGGGGAUAACAGUCAGAAAUGGCUGCUAAUACCGCAUAAGCGCACAGAGCUGCAUGGCUCAGUGUGAAAAACUCCGGUGGUAUAAGAUGGACCCGCGUUGGAUUAGCUAGUUGGUGGGGUAACGGCCCACCAAGGCGACGAUCCAUAGCCGGCCUGAGAGGGUGAACGGCCACAUUGGGACUGAGACACGGCCCAGACUCCUACGGGAGGCAGCAGUGGGGAAUAUUGCACAAUGGGGGAAACCCUGAUGCAGCGACGCCGCGUGAAGGAAGAAGUAUCUCGGUAUGUAAACUUCUAUCAGCAGGGAAGAUAGUGACGGUACCUGACUAAGAAGCCCCGGCUAACUACGUGCCAGCAGCCGCGGUAAUACGUAGGGGGCAAGCGUUAUCCGGAUUUACUGGGUGUAAAGGGAGCGUAGACGGUGUGGCAAGUCUGAUGUGAAAGGCAUGGGCUCAACCUGUGGACUGCAUUGGAAACUGUCAUACCUGAGUGCCGGAGGGGUAAGCGGAAUUCCUAGUGUAGCGGUGAAAUGCGUAGAUAUUAGGAGGAACACCAGUGGCGAAGGCGGCUUACUGGACG